GAUGAACGCUGGCGGCGUGCCUAAUACAUGCAAGUCGAGCGAACGGACGAGAAGCUUGCUUCUCUGAUGUUAGCGGCGGACGGGUGAGUAACACGUGGAUAACCUACCUAUAAGACUGGGAUAACUUCGGGAAACCGGAGCUAAUACCGGAUAAUAUUUUGAACCGCAUGGUUCAAAAGUGAAAGACGGUCUUGCUGUCACUUAUAGAUGGAUCCGCGCUGCAUUAGCUAGUUGGUAAGGUAACGGCUUACCAAGGCAACGAUGCAUAGCCGACCUGAGAGGGUGAUCGGCCACACUGGAACUGAGACACGGUCCAGACUCCUACGGGAGGCAGCAGUAGGGAAUCUUCCGCAAUGGGCGAAAGCCUGACGGAGCAACGCCGCGUGAGUGAUGAAGGUCUUCGGAUCGUAAAACUCUGUUAUUAGGGAAGAACAUAUGUGUAAGUAACUGUGCACAUCUUGACGGUACCUAAUCAGAAAGCCACGGCUAACUACGUGCCAGCAGCCGCGGUAAUACGUAGGUGGCAAGUGUUAUCCGGAAUUAUUGGGCGUAAAGCGCGCGUAGGCGGUUUUUUAAGUCUGAUGUGAAAGCCCACGGCUCAACCGUGGAGGGUCAUUGGAAACUGGAAAACUUGAGUGCAGAAGAGGAAAGUGGAAUUCCAUGUGUAGCGGUGAAAUGCGCAGAGAUAUGGAGGAACACCAGUGGCGAAGGCGACUUCCUGGUCUGUAACUGACGCUGAUGUGCGAAAGCGUGGGGAUCAAACAGGAUUAGAUACCCUGGUAGUCCACGCCGUAAACGAUGAGUGCUAAGUGUUAGGGGGUUUCCGCCCCUUAGUGCUGCAGCUAACGCAUUAAGCACUCCGCCUGGGGAGUACGACCGCAAGGUUGAAACUCAAAGGAAUUGACGGGGACCCGCACAAGCGGUGGAGCAUGUGGUUUAAUUCGAAGCAACGCGAAGAACCUUACCAAAUCUUGACAUCCUUUGACAACUCUAGAGAUAGAGCUUUCCCCUUCGGGGGACAAAGUGACAGGUGGUGCAUGGUUGUCGUCAGCUCGUGUCGUGAGAUGUUGGGUUAAGUCCCGCAACGAGCGCAACCCUUAAGCUUAGUUGCCAUCAUUAAGUUGGGCACUCUAAGUUGACUGCCGGUGACAAACCGGAGGAAGGUGGGGAUGACGUCAAAUCAUCAUGCCCCUUAUGAUUUGGGCUACACACGUGCUACAAUGGACAAUACAAAGGGCAGCGAAACCGUGAGGUCAAGCAAAUCCCAUAAAGUUGUUCUCAGUUCGGAUUGUAGUCUGCAACUCGACUACAUGAAGCUGGAAUCGCUAGUAAUCGUAGAUCAGCAUGCUACGGUGAAUACGUUCCCGGGUCU
This 1372-nucleotide ribosomal RNA is filed under the name uncultured bacterium. RNAcentral describes it as "bacterial SSU rRNA". It matches the Rfam family "Bacterial small subunit ribosomal RNA", at positions 28 to 1381 of the family's 1533-position model. The record is from RNAcentral.